This 267-nucleotide ribosomal RNA is filed under the name uncultured bacterium. Its description in RNAcentral is "partial 16S ribosomal RNA". It matches the Rfam family "Bacterial small subunit ribosomal RNA", at positions 793 to 1055 of the family's 1533-position model. The record is from RNAcentral.
GUCCACGCCGUAAACGAUGAUAACUAGCUGUCCGGGCCUUUCAGGCUUGGGUGGCGCAGCUAACGCAUUAAGUUAUCCGCCUGGGGAGUACGGUCGCAAGAUUAAAACUCAAAGGAAUUGACGGGGGCCUGCACAAGCGGUGGAGCAUGUGGUUUAAUUCGAAGCAACGCGCAGAACCUUACCAGCGUUUGACAUGUCUAGUUUAGUUUCCAGAGAUGGAUUCUUUCAGUUCGGCUGGCUAGAACACAGGUGCUGCAUGGCUGUCGU